RNAcentral lists this long non-coding RNA (520 nucleotides) under Phasianus colchicus (ring-necked pheasant). RNAcentral describes it as "lncRNA (ENSPCLG00000017650.1)". The record is from RNAcentral. Lineage: Eukaryota; Metazoa; Chordata; Aves; Galliformes; Phasianidae.
UCCUGAUGAAGUUGAGCUGAUCAUCUCUCAACCUAAAGACAUAUAUGAAGAAGGAUUAAAUGAAGAGAAGAGUAUAUCAAGGGGAAACAGCACUAGUGGUUCUGAGAUCUCUUGUGUAGACAGUGGAAGAAAAAAGAUUCAAGACUGUCAUGCAGCUCUCCCCAAAGAACAGGCUGUAAAUAUAGAUGAACUUGAGAAGGCUCUUUCUUGGAGUUUAGCACCAAAAUUGGGCCCCAAGAUUCCAGUCCUUUCAGCAGAUAGCCUGGAUGUGGAGGAGGCUGAUUCUUCACACUUACAAUCUCCAGCUGAAACCAACUCAAAUGAAACCUACACUGUGGAGCUUGUUAAAGAAGAUGGGACUUUUGGAAUCAGUGUGACUGCAAGUGUUACUAUUAAUCUUUCAAACUAUAUCAUGAACAAGAAACAUGUAGAGAAGUGUAUUUACGUGGAAGAAAGAUAGAAUAUAGGCCAGUAACAAGAACUGCUAGCACAGCACAUUUCAAACCUAAGAACCUGACUG